This is a long non-coding RNA of Hibiscus syriacus, 397 nucleotides long. RefSeq lists it as uncharacterized. The transcript has 3 exons. The record is from RefSeq and is a predicted model, not a curated record. Lineage: Eukaryota; Viridiplantae; Streptophyta; Magnoliopsida; Malvales; Malvaceae.
GGAUACAACAAGCAAGGAGAAGAUAUUAUUAAUUCGAUCAAGUUAGCAAAUUUGCAAAGAAUUUCAAUCUAAAAGAUUUUAUUUUUCCAGAAAUGACCGCAGAGACCAAAUCCAAUUUAGUUAAGGUGAAGCAGCCCAGUGGUCAAUAUGGUUCUUCAAAGGGAAAGUUUGAUGCUGCUGUGAACAAGAAGAAGCUUGAAAGCUCCAGCAAACAACAGCAUGUUGAUGCAAAGCAAAAAUCUCUGUCAACUGUCACACCAAAAACAGAGGUAAAAUCGAAAACAAGUUCGAGUUCAUCAAAAACCACUACAACCACAAAAACUAAAGCUAGGGAGAAGAAGGUUUAUACUUUGCCUCGCCAGAAACAUGAUCCUCCUUAAGAGGCUGUAACGAAUAU